GCUUCUUAGAGGGACAACUGGCGUUCAGCCAUACGAAAUUGAGCAAUAACAGGUCUGUGAUGCCCUUAGAUGUCCGGGGCUGCACGCGCGCUACACUGAAGGAAUCAGCGUGUAUACUACCUAGUCUGAAAAGACCGGGUAACCCCUUGAAACUCCUUCGUGCUUGGGAUAGGGACUUGCAAUUAUUUCCCUUGAACGAGGAAUUCCCAGUAAGUGCGGGUCAUAAGCUCGCGUUGAUUACGUCCCUGCCCUUUGUACUGAGCG
RNAcentral lists this ribosomal RNA (264 nucleotides) under Paracanthonchus sp. ELE026. RNAcentral describes it as "partial small subunit ribosomal RNA". It matches the Rfam family "Eukaryotic small subunit ribosomal RNA", at positions 1406 to 1665 of the family's 1831-position model. Lineage: Eukaryota; Metazoa; Nematoda; Chromadorea; Chromadorida; Cyatholaimidae. The record is from RNAcentral. RNAcentral also lists the same sequence under 5 other names.